This 704-nucleotide long non-coding RNA is filed under the name Columba livia (rock pigeon). RNAcentral's name for it is "partial uncharacterized LOC102085649, transcript variant X1". The record is from RNAcentral. Lineage: Eukaryota; Metazoa; Chordata; Aves; Columbiformes; Columbidae.
GUGGACAAGUGGCUCACCUGAAAACCCUCUCUGCAUCAUUACUGUUGCUUGUGCUGUCCAGACUGAAAUUCAUGCAGGUUGCUCAGUCAUAGGGAGUCUGGGGAGAAGCAGUCACAAUUCCACUGCUGAGGACCACCAAGGGAAGAUGACAACACAGAAUAUUCAACAGCUGUAUUAAACUUUGCAGAGCAGAGCCGGUGUGAACGCAACAGGAAAGACUUUUGCCAUCUGAACCUCACCAUUGCCUUGGCGCACGCUUGGCCACCAUCGGCGCUGGCCCAGCAGCAGCACAGCUUUCCCGGGCAGCACUCGGGCUGGCACAAAUGAGCUCGGAGGGAAAGGGUCCCCACCAGAUCCCUCCCACUGGCACGGCCGCAGCACCUGACAGAUCUCCCUGGGGCAACUGAAGCCUCUGGAGCACCACACGAACCCACAGCUGAACCUGAGCUAAAAUCCUGUCCAAGAAAGAGGAAGGCUGCUGUGAGGCAAACUGAAUGAACCUCUGAAGAAAUGCCAGUGUGACUGGGAUUGACAGCGUGCCUGGGUGAGACCCACACAGCCAGCCUGUUGGACCAUACAGCCCUGUCAUCUUACGUGGCCUCAGAUGUGUGGAGACCUCACAGAUAUUUAUCCCCUUCACAUGCUUGGAAAAGAGAUGGAAAAGGGGCUUAUUAGAGCUUCCUGAAGGUUAUUUUACCCUGUGA